GUGGGAUGACGUCAAAUCAUCAUGCCCCUUAUGUCCUGGGCCACACACGUGCUACAAUGGCCGGUACAGACGGACGCAAAGCCGCGAGGUGGAGCAAAUCCUAAAAAGCCGGUCUCAGUUCGGAUUGCAGGCUGCAAUUCGCCUGCAUGAAGUCGGAAUCGCUAGUAAUCGCAGGUCAGCAUACUGCGGUGAAUACGUUCCCGGGCCUU
This 209-nucleotide ribosomal RNA is filed under the name uncultured Bacillus sp. RNAcentral's name for it is "partial 16S ribosomal RNA". It matches the Rfam family "Bacterial small subunit ribosomal RNA", at positions 1174 to 1382 of the family's 1533-position model. The record is from RNAcentral. Lineage: Bacteria; Bacillati; Bacillota; Bacilli; Caryophanales; Bacillaceae.